UACGUAGGGGGCAAGCGUUGUUCGGAAUUACUGGGCGUAAAGGGCUCGUAGGUGGCCAACUAAGUCAUACGUGAAAUCCCUCGGCUUAACCGGGGAACUGCGCCUGAUACUGGUUGGCUUGAGUUUGGGAGAGGGACGCGGAAUUCCAGGUGUAGCGGUGAAAUGCGUAGAUAUCUGGAGGAACACCGGUGGCGAAGGCGGCGUCCUGGACCAAUACUGACACUGAGGAGCGAAAGCCAGGGGAGCAAACGGG
RNAcentral lists this ribosomal RNA (253 nucleotides) under uncultured bacterium. Its description in RNAcentral is "partial 16S ribosomal RNA". It matches the Rfam family "Bacterial small subunit ribosomal RNA", at positions 524 to 776 of the family's 1533-position model. The record is from RNAcentral.